This 436-nucleotide ribosomal RNA is filed under the name uncultured Mogibacterium sp. Its description in RNAcentral is "bacterial SSU rRNA". It matches the Rfam family "Bacterial small subunit ribosomal RNA", at positions 341 to 792 of the family's 1533-position model. The record is from RNAcentral. Lineage: Bacteria; Bacillati; Bacillota; Clostridia; Peptostreptococcales; Anaerovoracaceae.
ACGGAAGGCAGCAGUAAGGAAUCUUGCACAAUGGGGGAAACCCUGAUGCAGCAACGCCGCGUGAUUGAUGAAGGCCUUCGGGUUGUGAAAAUCUGAUCUAAGGGAAGAAACAAAUGACGGUACCUUAGGAGAAAGCCCCGGCUAACUACGUGCCAGCAGCCGCGGUAAUACGUAGGGGGCAAGCGUUAUCCGGAAUUAUUGGGCGUAAAGAGUGCGUAGGUGGUUACCUAAGCGCAAGGUUUAAUCUCGAGGCUUAACCUCAUUCUGCCUUGCGAACUGGGCUACUUGAGUGCAGGAGGGGAAAGCGGAAUUCCUAGUGUAGCGGCGAAAUGCGUAGAUAUUAGGAAGAACACCGGUGGCGAAGGCGGCUUUCUGGACUGUAACUGACACUGAGGCACGAAAGCGUGGGGAGCAAACAGGAUUAGAUACCCUGGUA